Molecule: long non-coding RNA, 3917 nt
Filed under: Capsicum annuum
Lineage: Eukaryota; Viridiplantae; Streptophyta; Magnoliopsida; Solanales; Solanaceae
Description: long non-coding RNA (CANN_LNC004507)
Source: RNAcentral
ACACAGGGGAAAGAAAAUACUAAUUCCUGAAUGCUUCUUCUAUCGACCUUCGCCCUCUUAGCUUUGUCCACUCCUUGUUAUUGGCGACAUUCGUUAAUAAUCAAGUGAUUGUCAUAUAACUGUGCCAUAGAUACCAUACAGCUAUCCAAAUUAAUCAAUGUCUUGAUUAACUUGUUUUAAUUCCUUCAUCAAUCGGUGUACGAUUGAGGCAUCCUUAUACAAAAGUAAGUAAAACAAGUCUUCUCCCGAACCCCUAAAGGAUAAUGGAUUGAAUUAGAAAGGCAUACAUUUUCUUCAACUCAUAAAUAUGGUUCGUCUAUAAUUGACUCGGGGUCAAUAGAUGCAGGGCAGGUUUUCUAAUGGGCCCAAUACCUCACUCGGGUAUUGGGUCGUCCUAGGCUCAUGCCUAAAAUAGGGUUUUGGUUUCGUUCGAUCCUAGGUGUCUAGAGUGGGUCUGAACACUGGUUCUCAAGCGGACAACUUGAGUUUGAAAAUACAAACAGCCAUCAGACGACUCACGUGCUAAUAAGCCGUUCGUAUUUCUAAUACAUUAUUGGAAUUGAACAAUAGGGGCCGGGACAUCCACGAAACCCCAAAAUAGUUUAAAUAAUGCAAGAAUAUACCAUGAGAUGCGAUAGUUAAACUUUACAGAAUUGAAACAUAUAAAUACAUGAACAGUUAAUCAAAAGACCAAAAUCAAACAUUUGGUUAGAACCUAGUUUCAAAUCCCCAGCAGAGUCGCCAUUUCUGUUUUGCGAAAAUUUUGACUUUUGAAAGAGACGCCACUUAAUUUUGAAAAGGAAUUAAGAAACCUUUAUAAAAUACUUUGAACGAUCCAAAAUAGAAAAAUCAUUCAAGUUUUGAAGAUUCUGAGUAAGCGGUUCCUAUUAACGUUUUAGGAAGGUGUUAGGCACCUAAAUCGUUUGCUAACUUGCGGUUAUCCAGACUGUUUGAAAAUCAUCUUUUGAUUAACUUCGAAAAGAUUAAUUUUGUCAAAAAGUGAUUGAUUUUUUGGAAAGAAAACGAUUUUGGAAAUAUUUUGGUGUUUAUGCAAAACUAGUUUUUAGCGACUUAACUAAGGAUUUAACUAGGUUCGCAAAGUACAUAAGGAAAACAAGCAUAAAGAAGAGGGGAAGGGUAGGAAGUAAGUGAUUUAGGCCAUUGGGCUCAAAUCAAUAAUACCAGUCCUAGUCUAAUUGGACUUUCGACCCAUUUCACCUGUCCUAGUCUAGUUUUCAAGCCUUUGGCUCGAAUCUUGCUCCACCUGUAUUAGUUUUACAAGUUUCGCUUUGAGGCCCAAAUGAAUGAAUAAAGAAAUAAAUGGAUAAGUAAAUAGAAGAUGACAAUAAAUAUCUAAAUAAAAUGACAAGAAAAGAAAGUGAGACUCCUGAGUCUCUUCGUCACUUCGAAUAUGGAUUUCAACCCAUUUUUUUCUUCUUUCGACUCCUUGCGUCCGUAUGCCAUGCGAUGGAUACUUAGAUUUUCUUUUGGCUUAACUCAAAAGGAUAAGCCUCAUUGGCCCAUGAAUAUACAAGAGGGAAGGAUUCCAUGAAGGACUCAAGUGAUUUCUAUGCAAAGAGAGAAUAAAUAAAGCACAUUAGUACAUGAUCGAACAAAGGAGGGAGUGAGGAAAAUAAAGUGAAGGGAGUUAACACAUGAUCAGUCAGAGGUAGACAAAACUAAAGGAAAAAUGCAAAUUUAAUUAAAAAACUAGCGACAUGGAAUGGACUUUACAUAAUCAAAAGUCAAUUAAAAAUAGUAGGAACUAUUCAUGUUACUUCAAACAAGUUCAAUCGAAAUAGGCGAAUUAGCAACAGUUAGAACACAAUUACUUAAGAAAAGAAAGAAAAUACUAAUGGAACUAGUACAUGAUUAACUAAGGGACAACCCAACAUCCACAGAGAAAAAACACAAUCUGAGCGAUGACGUGAAAAUCAGAAGUACAAUCACGGGAUAGUAAUAAACUAAAAAGGGACUACACAGAAUUGUAUUGAAUUUGAACAAAGUUGCCCAGAGGAAAUUAACAAAUUCUUCUCUGGGAUGCCAAUGGAUAUUAACAAUUAUGUCUUUCUUCUAUACUCAAGCUAAGCAGAGUAAUCAUACAAUCUCAAGAGAGUAGGAUUUUCAAAUAAAAAUCUAAAUUUUACAGGUGAGACAGUGAAAACAAACCAUGUGACAAAACGAUCAGUAAAUUGGACUGUCUUCGACAAGACAAAAACAAAUGAAUAAGGAUGAUUUUCUUCAAAUAAACAAUCAAGUAUCUAGUAACCAUAAAACACAACCACACCUAUCAUUCUAAAUCGUUACUAAUAAUGAACUUAAAGAAAGAUGGAAAUCAAACUUUCAAGCUUUGAUACCGAAAAAAAUUAUCAGUCUACAAAAGGGAAUUGACAGGACAUACCAAAAUAAUUUCUCUUAACAUGGAACAAAUCCCGCACAAAAUUAGUGUAAAAUUCAUCAAGGCCCAAUUUUACCAUGAGUAAUCAAUCAUAUUACCAUUUCUUGAACCUAGCCGUACCAAUUUCACCAAUGGGAUAAAGCAUAAUCUAAACACACGAGAAGACUAUUUUUCAGCAGCUCACAAACAACCUAAAGUGAGAUUCUUUGACCCAUGUGACAAGAAUAUAAUCGCAACCAACCUACAACCUCCAAGGCCCCUACAACAAGCAAAUCCCAACAUACGAAAGGGAAAAAUAAAACAAUUUGGUAUCAAGGUAUACUCAGGCGAAGUAACAUUCAAACAUAACUUUUUUUUUCUUAGAAAUGAAUACAGAAUCAAAACUUUGAGGCAAAAGGGAAAACAAUUAAAGCAACAAUGUCACAAACAAAUCCUAGGGCCAUCAUAGCCAUCUACAACAAACAAUCCUGCCUUAUUCACGAUUACGACCAACAACUAUGGCUACGAAGAAAGAGAUGAAAGCAGAAAAUGAUAAACUUAAAGGGACGAGAGUAUAUUCACCUCUUUUGGGGAAGCAAAACAGGACAACGAACAGGUACGGAGAUCACAACCACCAGGAAACUUCUUCACAGUCAACUGAAACUCUAAUUUAGCCGAUGAACAAGAAUAGAAUUUCUACUCGAGACUGAAUUUUCUCAAGAAUUUUCUUUCUCUCCUCUCUCUCUAAUUUUAAUUUUGUUCUCCUAGAAGAUUCCUUGAUCUCCUCUUUUUGAACCAAAAGAAUUUUUUUCAACCUAGUUUUCUCAAUCAAUUUCCAAACCCUAGAAUUUCCAACCCUUUAAUUUCAAGCCUCCAAAGAACCCCCCCUAAAAGCUCAACAGCCAGCUCUUUAUAUAGAGUACCAUUGAGGGUAUUUUAGGGAUUAUUUUUCCAAAGGGAAUUUAAAAUUUUCACUCCCAAUCGGAUUCCCCCUCAAUAAAUUAUACCAAUUUUAAAAUUGGUGGACCAAUAAGAUUUAGGCAAAAUGAAUUCCCUCGAGAACCAAUAGAAAUCUACCAAAUAUGUACAAAAUUGUACCAUUGUUAUCAAGAUUUGCGGAAUUGAUCCGUUGGGGGAGACACCUGGACUCAUUCUAGAAAAUUCUCAAGCUUUCUUCAUACAAAAUAAUGUAAGAGCCAUGUGACGCAUAAAAGAGAGGGAAAAGGGGAUGGUUUGAGAUCAAUUUUGGGUCUAAAAUCGAGUCUGGAAUAGGUUCAGUUCGAGUUACGGGUUGAAGAUAUGGUUGCGAACGGGUUGGUUCUUGGAUUGUGGGUCAUCUAAUUCGCGAUGUUGGGUUAGAUUGAGACUAGUUUUGGCGAUAUUUUGGAGUUGUUGUUGAUGAUGAGUCUAUUGGUAUUGUCGACUUGAUCAUCGUUGUUCAUCGAUGUUGUUGUCUUUGCUAUUUGCUGAUGAAAAGGGAAAGAAAUGGGUAUUUGGUCGGGUCGCUAUUAUUGGUUUGGGCUAGGAAAGAGAAUGGUGG